This 482-nucleotide ribosomal RNA is filed under the name uncultured bacterium. Its description in RNAcentral is "partial 16S ribosomal RNA". It matches the Rfam family "Bacterial small subunit ribosomal RNA", at positions 28 to 507 of the family's 1533-position model. The record is from RNAcentral.
GAUGAACGCUGGCGGCGUGCCUAAUACAUGCAAGUCGAACGCUUCACUUCGGUGAAGAGUGGCGAACGGGUGAGUAAUACAUAAGUAACCUGGCAUCUACAGGGGGAUAACUGAUGGAAACGUCAGCUAAGACCGCAUAGGUGUAGAGAUCGCAUGAACUCUAUAUGAAAAGUGCUACGGGACUGGUAGAUGAUGGACUUAUGGCGCAUUAGCUUGUUGGUAGGGUAACGGCCUACCAAGGCGACGAUGCGUAGCCGACCUGAGAGGGUGACCGGCCACACUGGGACUAAGACACGGCCCAGACUCCUACGGGGGGCAGCAGUAGGGAAUUUUCGGCAAUGGGGGAAACCCUGACCGAGCAACGCCGCGUGAAGGAAGAAGUAAUUCGUUAUGUAAACUUCUGUCAUAGAGGAAGAACGGUGGAUAUAGGGAAUGAUAUCAAAGUGACGGUACUCUAUAAGAAAGCCACGGCUAACUACGUG